This 253-nucleotide ribosomal RNA is filed under the name uncultured bacterium. Its description in RNAcentral is "partial 16S ribosomal RNA". It matches the Rfam family "Bacterial small subunit ribosomal RNA", at positions 524 to 776 of the family's 1533-position model. The record is from RNAcentral.
UACGUAGGGUGCAAGCGUUGUCCGGAAUUAUUGGGCGUAAAGAGCUCGUAGGCGGUUUGUCGCGUCUGCUGUGAAAAUCCGGGGCUCAACCCCGGACUUGCAGUGGGUACGGGCAGACUAGAGUGUGGUAGGGGAGACUGGAAUUCCUGGUGUAGCGGUGAAAUGCGCAGAUAUCAGGAGGAACACCGAUGGCGAAGGCAGGUCUCUGGGCCACUACUGACGCUGAGAAGCGAAAGCAUGGGGAGCGAACAGG